RNAcentral lists this ribosomal RNA (778 nucleotides) under uncultured bacterium. RNAcentral describes it as "bacterial SSU rRNA". It matches the Rfam family "Bacterial small subunit ribosomal RNA", at positions 8 to 796 of the family's 1533-position model. The record is from RNAcentral.
AGAGUUUGAUCCUGGCUCAGGAUGAACGCUAGCGGCAGGCCUAAUACAUGCAAGUCGAAGGGGCAGCAAUGUCACUGGCGCACGGGUGCGGAACACGUUUGAAAUCUGCCUUGAACAGGGGGAUAGCCCGCCGAAAGGCGGAUUAAUACCGCAUAUGCCGAUGGGUUGGCAUCAGCCAGUCGGGAAAGGCGCAAGCCGGUUCGAGAUGAUCAUGCGUCUGAUUAGCUAGUUGGCGGGGUAGAAGCCCACCAAGGCGACGAUCAGUAGGGGACCUGAGAGGGCGAUCCCCCACACGGACACUGAGAUACGGGUCCGACUCCUACGGGAGGCAGCAGUAGGGAAUAUUGGGCAAUGGGCGAGAGCCUGACCCAGCCAUGCCGCGUGCAGGAAGAAGGCCCUCUGGGUUGUAAACUGCUUUUGACGGGGAAGAAACGACCCUUGCGAGGGGCAUUGACGGUACCCGCAGAAUAAGCACCGGCUAACUCCGUGCCAGCAGCCGCGGUAAUACGGAGGGUGCAAGCGUUGUCCGGAUUUAUUGGGUUUAAAGGGUGCGUAGGCGGUCUGGUAAGUCGGCGAUGAAAGCCCGGGGCUCAACCCCGGAACUGUCGUCGAUACUGUCGGACUUGAAUGAGGUGGAGGCUGGCGGAAUGGGCGGUGUAGCGGUGAAAUGCAUAGAUACCGUCCAGAACCCCGAUUGCGAAGGCAGCUGGCUGUACCUUUAUUGACGCUGAGGCACGAAAGCGUGGGGAGCGAACAGGAUUAGAUACCCUGGUAGUCC